Molecule: long non-coding RNA, 1500 nt
Organism: Phyllostomus hastatus (greater spear-nosed bat)
Lineage: Eukaryota; Metazoa; Chordata; Mammalia; Chiroptera; Phyllostomidae
Exons: 3
Source: RefSeq, a predicted model, not a curated record
AGAACAUUCUUCCACUCCCCAGAGAGGAGCCGCUCAGUGUCCCCGCAGGUAGAAAAGGCCACUUGCGUCAACUGGAAGUCAUGAGGGAUCCAGUGUCGCCUGAAGCCCCGUCUUGGAGUCUUAACCCCGCGGCGCCUGAGGGCUGAGAGGCUGGUUUGAGUGCACGUGUGAGGAGGCAGGGGCCUACGUGUGUCAGGCGGGCUCUGCUGGGCCUCCUGGGCUUGUAGACCAGAGGCUGUGAGGAGCGGGCGGGAUGUCCGAAGAGCCUGUUGGCCAGAGCUGACAUUCCUGCGUUCAAAUUCCUGCUCUGCCACUUCCUAGAGCAUGACCUUGGGGGAAGUUGUGCAAUCUCCCUGGGCCUCAGUCGUUCCUCCUGUGGGACGGGGCUGAUAGCAGUAGGUGUCCGGCUGGGGUGGUGGCGAGAACUGAACGGCAUAAUGCACAGAAAGCUCUCGGGACGGCGCCUGGCCCACGGGAAGCACUGAAUGAACACGUGUGAGCGGACAAGAAGCAGUGUAAUGGCAGGCAGUGCUGAGCUCCGUGAAGAAAACCAAACCAGAUCUGCUUUCCAGACAGCAAGACGGAGAGAUCCGGGCUUGCCCACUGUGCGUGCAGAACAGAAUUCCUGGGCCGGGUGAACGAUGGCAGAGACAGGGCGAAGGUGCCCUCGUGGGGAAGCCUCGUGGGGGAAAUCGGGCUCCGAGGGACCCACCCCGUGGCCCUCGCGGUAAAGAACGCCAAGGACCUCCACCGCGACGCCAGCAGCCGGAGAGCAGGGUGCGGGCCGGCCCGGGUGGUGCCUGGGGGCGUGUUUCUCCUGGUGUUCUCAGAGACUCGCACUGCUCUUGCAUAAAGCGCAGAUUAGGAAAGCAUUAGGUAACGAGAGGGUGGCCAGAGCGUAUUACACAGCAGCCUGGCGCGGGGCCCCGGAAUGCGGCCUGCGGGGAUGGCCUUGCGGAGCAAGUCAAAUAUCUCUGGAACCAGGACAGGCAUGGCUUCCUCUGUCCCUCCUGCAGCCAGAAGGGAGAUCCUGCCGGCCCGGCUGCUCUCCGGGGCCUCCUCCGUGUCUCUUGGCCUGUGGAGGUGGGACAGAAAGCUGGGAGCCCCUGGGAGCCGCACGCUUUGAUGCGUUUUAAGGAGGAGGCUUGUUGCUGAGGCUUUGCCCAGAGGAAGGUGAGCAACAAGUGAAAAUGGAUUCUGGUCCUUCUGCCUCCUGCAGUCCCCACCUCGCCAGCCCUCCCCCACUGUCCUGGCAGAUGGACCUCACAGGGAGCUGCUUCUUUCAGGACUAAUGCUAUCUGUCGUGGCUCAGAUAUUCGGUGAGCGUUUGCUGUGAGCUCACAAAUACGCCCAUUCGUAGGCCCCAAACCUGCUCCGUGCCCUCUUUGUGUUCCCACUCCAACUGUGCAAGACGUGAAUUCAUGUGCAUUAAAGGUGAAAAGGAAACUCACCUUCACCAAGGGCCUCCUCUGUGCCAGACGCCGUGUCAGGAUUCUCCAG